This 78-nucleotide transfer RNA is filed under the name Marchantia quadrata. RNAcentral's name for it is "partial tRNA-Leu". It matches the Rfam family "tRNA". Rfam says of the family: Transfer RNA (tRNA) molecules are approximately 80 nucleotides in length. Lineage: Eukaryota; Viridiplantae; Streptophyta; Marchantiopsida; Marchantiales; Marchantiaceae. The record is from RNAcentral.
AAUCGAAAUCGGUAGACGCUACGGACUUAAAAUCCGUUGGCUUUAAAGACCGUGAGGGUUCAAGUCCCUCUACCCCCA